GACGAACGCUGGCGGCGUGCCUAAUACAUGCAAGUUGAGCGCUGAAGGUUGGUACUUGUACCAACUGGAUGAGCAGCGAACGGGUGAGUAACGCGUGGGGAAUCUGCCUUUGAGCGGGGGACAACAUUUGGAAACGAAUGCUAAUACCGCAUAAAAACUUUAAACACAAGUUUUAAGUUUGAAAGAUGCAAUUGCAUCACUCAAAGAUGAUCCCGCGUUGUAUUAGCUAGUUGGUGAGGUAAAGGCUCACCAAGGUGAUGAUACAUAGCCGACCUGAGAGGGUGAUCGGCCACAUUGGGACGGAGACACGGCCCAAACUCCUACGGGAGGCAGCAGUAGGGAAUCUUCGGCAAUGGACGAAAGUCUGACCGAGCAACGCCGCGUGAGUGAAGAAGGUUUUCGGAUCGUAAAACUCUGUUGGUAGAGAAGAACGUUGGUGAGAGUGGAAAGCUCAUCAAGUGACGGUAACUACCCAGAAAGGGACGGCUAACUACGUG
Molecule: ribosomal RNA, 497 nt
Filed under: uncultured bacterium
Lineage: Bacteria
Description: partial 16S ribosomal RNA
Rfam family: Bacterial small subunit ribosomal RNA
Source: RNAcentral